This 730-nucleotide long non-coding RNA is filed under the name Scleropages formosus (Asian bonytongue). Its description in RNAcentral is "lncRNA (ENSSFOG00015029838.1)". Lineage: Eukaryota; Metazoa; Chordata; Actinopteri; Osteoglossiformes; Osteoglossidae. The record is from RNAcentral.
AAGCGAGUGAGAAUUAGUAAAUUUUUAGUGGUUCACCAAUACUCUUUCUAAAGGUUGACCGAAUGAAUCGUUCAAUGUUUCCACUAUUUCAGAAGCAACAGAAAGAAGUUACCUGCCACCAUCUCAGAAUGAAUCAAAUAAUGAAGUGAAGGUUUUACUGACUCUGUGCGUGGUGUGUGUGUGCACAUCUGUGCUGCUCAUCUGCAUCACUUUUGCCUCCCGGCGGCACUUGGCCAAGUGGAAAACCAAAGGUCUGACAGUAUUCUGGUUCUCCAAGGACACGACGGAAGAGGACGCCCAGACCCCGAUCCAGGAGGAGUGCGGAGAGUCUGAAAAGUGUGACCCUUCAGACUGCUAGUGGAAAGUAACGGGGGCUCAGUGGAAGGUGGCAGGAGCAGACGGAUGAGAAACAGGAAGGGUGUGUCACGGCACUGAAGGGCGAAGAAGGGCGAAAAAGAGCUCCAUCGACACUCGAAGGGUAAAGGAAGGAAAUGCUCUUGUGCAGGGGUGUAUUUAUGGAAGCGUGCACACACUACACAAGGAGGCCACACACACACACACACACACACACACUAAGGCAUGACACACAACUAUGCAAAUGCUUACUCUGAGAGCACACUUCUAUGUUGUAGUGACAGCUAACAUUUACGUAGUGACAUUUAUCGUGUAGAUUACAGGUUAGAUAUAUCUGCGAUAUGUGAUUACUACAACAUAUUGUGGAAUUAUUAUA